Non-coding RNA from Macrostomum lignano, 72 nucleotides. NCBI's taxonomy places the organism in Eukaryota, Metazoa, Platyhelminthes, Macrostomidae. The record is from Rfam.
GCAUCGGUGGUUCAGUGGUAGAAUGCUCGCCUGCCACCCGGACGGUCCAGGGUUCGAAUCCCGGCCGUUGCA